RNAcentral lists this ribosomal RNA (492 nucleotides) under uncultured bacterium. RNAcentral describes it as "bacterial SSU rRNA". It matches the Rfam family "Bacterial small subunit ribosomal RNA", at positions 28 to 507 of the family's 1533-position model. The record is from RNAcentral.
GAUGAACGCUAGCUACAGGCUUAACACAUGCAAGUCGAGGGGAAACGACAUUGGAAGCUUGCUUCCGAUGGGCGUCGACCGGCGCACGGGUGAGUAACGCGUAUCCAACCUGCCCACCACUUGGGGAUAACCUUGCGAAAGUAAGACUAAUACCCAAUGAUAUCCCACGAAGGCAUCGGAAUGGGAUUAAAGAUUUAUCGGUGAUGGAUGGGGAUGCGUCUGAUUAGCUUGUUGGCGGGGUAACGGCCCACCAAGGCAACGAUCAGUAGGGGUUCUGAGAGGAAGGUCCCCCACAUUGGAACUGAGACACGGUCCAAACUCCUACGGGAGGCAGCAGUGAGGAAUAUUGGUCAAUGGGCGAGAGCCUGAACCAGCCAAGUAGCGUGCAGGACGACGGCCCUAUGGGUUGUAAACUGCUUUUAUAAGGGAAUAAAGUGGGUCUCGUGAGACUUUUUGCAUGUACCUUAUGAAUAAGGACCGGCUAAUUCCGUG